RNAcentral lists this ribosomal RNA (116 nucleotides) under Pteropus alecto (black flying fox). The record is from RNAcentral. Lineage: Eukaryota; Metazoa; Chordata; Mammalia; Chiroptera; Pteropodidae.
GUCUACGGCCAUGCCACCCUGAACAAGCCCAGUGUCUGAUCUCAGAAGCUAAGCAGGGUCAGGCCUGGUUAGUACUUAGAUGAGAGACCACCUAGGAAGACCAGGUGCUAUAGGCA